RNAcentral lists this ribosomal RNA (455 nucleotides) under uncultured bacterium. RNAcentral's name for it is "partial 16S ribosomal RNA". It matches the Rfam family "Bacterial small subunit ribosomal RNA", at positions 27 to 507 of the family's 1533-position model. The record is from RNAcentral.
GGAUGAACGCUGACAGAAUGCUUAACACAUGCAAGUCUACUUGAACUUCGGUUUGGGUGGCGGACGGGUGAGUAACGCGUAAAGAACUUGCCUCACAGUUAGGGACAACAUUUGGAAACGAAUGCUAAUACCUGAUAUUAUGAUUUUAGGGCAUCCUAAAAUUAUGAAAGCUAUAUGCGCUGUGAGAGAGCUUUGCGUCCCAUUAGCUAGUUGGAGAGGUAACGGCUCACCAAGGCGAUGAUGGGUAGCCGGCCUGAGAGGGUGAACGGCCACAAGGGGACUGAGACACGGCCCUUACUCCUACGGGAGGCAGCAGUGGGGAAUAUUGGACAAUGGACCAAAAGUCUGAUCCAGCAAUUCUGUGUGCACGAUGACGUUUUUCGGAAUGUAAAGUGCUUUCAGUUGGGAAGAAAAAAAUGACGGUACCAACAGAAGAAGUGACGGCUAAAUACGUG